This 388-nucleotide ribosomal RNA is filed under the name uncultured eukaryote. Its description in RNAcentral is "partial 18S ribosomal RNA". It matches the Rfam family "Eukaryotic small subunit ribosomal RNA", at positions 592 to 976 of the family's 1831-position model. The record is from RNAcentral.
CAAUAGCGUAUAUUAAAGUUGUUGCAGUUAAAAAGCUCGUAGUUGGAUUUCUGAUCGAGACAUCAGGUCGGGUCCGAGAGGAUCAUGUACUUUGAUUUUGUUUUGAUCAUCCUUGGGGAGAGCAUUUCUGGCAUUCAGUUGUCGGGAUUGGGAUCCUCAUCGUUUACUGUGAAAAAAUUAGAGUGUUCAAAGCAGGCCUCGGCCUCUGAAUACAUUAGCAUGGAAUAAUAAGAUAGGACUUUGGUGGUCUAUUUUGUUGGUUUGCACGCCAAAGUAAUGAUUAAUAGGGAUAGUUGGGGGUAUUCGUAGUCAAUUGUCAGAGGUGAAAUUCUUGGAUUUAUGGAAGACGAACUACUGCGAAAGCAUUUACCAAGGAUGUUUUCAUUAA